UUCGUCAGCUGGAUCUGGACAGGAGCACGAAACGCAUCUGAGGCAGAUAUGUGUAGAUUUUAAUUUUUUAAUUUGAUCAUAUGUUUGUUUAUCGUGUUUUUUAAUUAUGUUUCAGAGUUUCGUCCCUCGCCGCAGUGAAGUCAGAGGGAAUCGGACAGGAGUCGAAACGCUAUUUUGACAGAUCGGACAACCCUUGCACGAGCUAGCAUGAGCCCCCGAUCAGUUUGCGCAUGUAGCCGGACUUGAUCUCGGUUUGGAGCAGACUCUAGUUUCAUGGUUUCCAGUGCACUUCAGACACCUAGGGCCUUUUAGGCAGUAGAUUCUGGAGUGGCGAAAACCCUGACAAUUGAAGCAUUGGACAGGCUCCUGGGUCCUGUGCAUCCUUUCCACUUUGACGGUUUGAUUGUCCAGAACUUUUGAAGUGCUCCUGUUG
Drosophila gunungcola (fruit fly) is the source of this 433-nucleotide long non-coding RNA. RefSeq lists it as uncharacterized. The transcript is spliced from 3 exons. Lineage: Eukaryota; Metazoa; Arthropoda; Insecta; Diptera; Drosophilidae. The record is from RefSeq and is a predicted model, not a curated record.